UACGGAGGGGGCUAGCGUUGUUCGGAAUUACUGGGCGUAAAGCGCACGUAGGCGGCGAUUUAAGUCAGAGGUGAAAGCCCGGGGCUCAACCCCGGAAUAGCCUUUGAGACUGGAUUGCUAGAAUCUUGGAGAGGCGAGUGGAAUUCCGAGUGUAGAGGUGAAAUUCGUAGAUAUUCGGAAGAACACCAGUGGCGAAGGCGGCUCGCUGGACAAGGUAUUGACGCUGAGGUGCGAAAGCGUGGGGAGCAAACAGG
This 254-nucleotide ribosomal RNA is filed under the name uncultured bacterium. RNAcentral's name for it is "partial 16S ribosomal RNA". It matches the Rfam family "Bacterial small subunit ribosomal RNA", at positions 524 to 776 of the family's 1533-position model. The record is from RNAcentral.